GCUUUACUGUAGCCUGGAAUUGGGAUCGGGCUUACUUUGCGCAGUAUAAGUGGGAGGCUAAGAUUAUAUAUUUGUGGAUGUAUAUGAGCUGUCAGUGAGAUACCACUCUGAGUAAGCUAGAUUUCUAACUUUGACUGCCGUUAUCCGGCCAAGGAACAGUUUCAGGUGGGCAGUUUGACUGGGGCGGUCGCCUCCUAAAAGGUAACGGAGGCGUACAAAGGUUCCCUCAGGCUGGUCGGAAAUCAGUUGUAGAGUAUAAAGGCAUAAGGGAGCUUGACUGCAAGACUUACAAGUCAAGCAGAGACGAAAGUCGGUCUUAGUGAUCCGACAGUUCCGAAUGGAAGGGCUGUCGCUCAACGGAUAAAAGUUA
This 370-nucleotide ribosomal RNA is filed under the name Rhodogorgon ramosissima. RNAcentral's name for it is "partial 23S ribosomal RNA". It matches the Rfam family "Bacterial large subunit ribosomal RNA", at positions 2098 to 2465 of the family's 2925-position model. The record is from RNAcentral. Lineage: Eukaryota; Rhodophyta; Florideophyceae; Rhodogorgonales; Rhodogorgonaceae.